Molecule: transfer RNA, 68 nt
Filed under: Tiniocellus spinipes
Lineage: Eukaryota; Metazoa; Arthropoda; Insecta; Coleoptera; Scarabaeidae
Description: tRNA-Phe
Source: RNAcentral
AUUUAAAUAGCUUAAAUUUAAAGCAUAAUAUUGAAGAUAUUAAGAUAAUAAUUAUUUAUUUUUAAAUA